Pelobates cultripes (western spadefoot toad) is the source of this 320-nucleotide non-coding RNA. Lineage: Eukaryota; Metazoa; Chordata; Amphibia; Anura; Pelobatidae. The record is from the annotation of a GenBank genome assembly.
CUGCUAUUUCCUGGUUUGGUUUGCUCACUGGAGCUAAACUCAUGAGGCAGGCAAUAGCUCACAGCACCUGCCUUGCAAAGUCUUCUCAUUGAGCUGCUUUAGGAAAGUUUGGUCUGGGAAGAACGUGAAAGCUUGCAAAUGCUGCAGACACGAGAACUGCAGCUUUUGCAAGUGGGUUUAUAUAUACCCCUGAAUGAAAAAAUGCACAAUUAAAUGUAUGCACUUUUCAUUGGGGUAUAUCUCUGAAACAGUGAUUUUUACAAUAAUUUUACAUGGGCAGUGGAGUGUUUUUUUAAGGUGCCAUGGGCUUGAAAAACUAU